RNAcentral lists this long non-coding RNA (3644 nucleotides) under Canis lupus familiaris (dog). Its description in RNAcentral is "lncRNA (ENSCAFG00845006669.1)". The record is from RNAcentral. Lineage: Eukaryota; Metazoa; Chordata; Mammalia; Carnivora; Canidae.
AGAUAUGCACCCCUAUGUUUAUCGCAGCAUUAUUUAUUAACAACCAAGACAUGAUAGCAACCUGUCCAUCAAUGGAUGAAUGGAUAAGAUGUGAUGUGUGUACAGACACAUAUACACACAAUGAAUUACUCAGCCAUAAAAAAGAAUGAAAUCUUGCCAUUUGCAACAACAGGGAUGGACCUAGAGGGUAUUAUAAGUGAAAUAAGUUAAAUAAGGACAAAUACCAUAUGAUUCCACUUAUAACAUGCAAUCCAAAAAAUAAAACAAAUGAAAGUGAGAAACGCUCAAACACAGAGCACUGGUGGUUGCCAGUAAGGGGAAGGGGGUGGGGAGGACGGGAGUAAGAGGUACAAACUUCCAGUUAUAAAAUAAGUGACGGGGAUGGAAAAUACAGCAUAGGAGAUAGUCAAUAAUAUUGCAAUAACACCAUGGUGAGAAUUUCAUAAUGUGUAGAAUUGGUUUGGGGGGGGAUUUUUUUGUUUUUUGUUUUUUGGAUUUUUAAAAAGAUUUUAUUUGAGAGAGAGAGAGAGAGCGUGUGCGCAUGAGCCAGGGGGAGAGGCAGAUGGAGAGGGAGAUGCAGCCUUCUCUGCUCAGCAGGGAGCCUGAUAUGGGGUUCAAUCCCAGGAUCCUGGGAUCAUGACCUGAGCCCAAGUCAGAUGCUUAACCCAGGUGCUCCAAUAAUGUGUAUAAUGGUUCAAUCACUAUGUUACAUGCCUGAAACUAAUUUAAUGUCUUCUAUACUUCCAUUAAAAAUAAAUUUAAACACAAAGAUUUAAAAAUACUAAAUAGGACCCCCUUCAAAUAUAUGAACCAAAAAAAAAAAAAAAGAGAGAGAGAGAGAGAAGUGAACAAAACUAUUGGAGGCACGUGGAAGGGGAGCAGAUGGGAAACAGACUAGAUGACGUACAAAAAGCAGAGAAGAAUCUGGGCCGGGCAGGUCCCCCAAGAGACCCGAGGAUCUGGUCCAAUAAUAGAGCUGGGGACCCAGGGGUGAAGGAGGCGACACAGGGAACCCAAGUGCCACUCCUCACCAGGCAGGAGCAGGGUAGGAGGUUGAACCCGGGCAGUAUGGAGCUGCAAGAGGCCUAGGUUCCAUCUGGGAGUCAGGAGAGGCUGGUGCUAGUCCUCCUUGCUGCCUGAUGGUGAGCAAGUCACUCCCUCCGGAUGGAAUCAAUCUCCCGGCCGCCCCCACUCCCCACCCCAUCCCUGCCACCCAAGGACAAGACACUCUCUGUGCCUCCUCCAGCUGAGCUCCCAACCAAUGGACAGUGCCAGAGCAGCACCUCUCACUUGUGGGGAUAAUGUGUGCUUCGCCACUUGUGGCUUCGCCAGCAAGAGAAGACAAAGGCGGGGCCUCCCUGCAUCGCCAGGAGCCUGAAUCCAUUGUGCAGGCAGGGGAGACCCCAGACAGGAACCUGGGCAUGAGGAGUCAAGAAACCUCCUGGGUUGCACUGCCUGGGAGUCAGAGCAAGGAGGCCACGCAAGGUGUGCAGCCUGCUGCGAGCACCUUCCGCUUCCUGUCCUCCUCCAACAAGGCGCUGGGCAGCCUCCCAGCUCCCUGCCCUCCAGGCCAUGGAGGGCUAGCUCUUGCCCUGCAGGCUCUUGUAGCCCUCAGGGUCUCCAGGGGCCUACCUUCUCCAGUGACACUUUUCACAAGACACCCCUCUGGAAAGGUGCUUUGGGACCCACAUCUUACAGAACCUGAGGUGGAUGUUGCAAGAUGGUCAAGGCCAGGCCAGAGCCCAGUUCUGGAGCUCCAGGUCCAUGGGGCUUUCCACCAGGAUGGCAUCUUUCCUCAGGGCCAGAGCAUCUGUCUGCCCCCAGUGCCACACACACACAGCAAACAUACACAAUACGCAGUGACGGCGAGCACUGCUGCCUUGACUCCAGGUCAGUAGGUAGGAGGCACUCCCUGCCUGGGAGAUUGGAGUGCCUGCACGCAUUUCAGUGGGUGUAAGGAACACGGAUACACGGGCCUCCUGCCUCUCUGGGUGGGUCUCUGCCCUGCCCUGGCUGGAUUCUUCUGGCCUGGGAUAAAUGCAUCCUACACAGCCUGCAGCUUGAGUUUCCCUUGGGUCCCUAUUUACAUACCCAGCCUCCCACGCAGCCGGCAGAGGCGAGGAGGCCAAUCAGCUCUAGGGAGGUGAGGUAUCUGAGGCCCUUCCAGGGGAAGGGGCAGCAGGUCAUAGGGCGUGGGGGGCAAAUCCCUGGGAGCUGGGAACCAAGCCUCACUGUGGUGUUAACCCUGCGGCCCUGAAUGACAAAACACCUUGCCUCUCAAGGCAAAGAGGUGCUCGUGCUGGAUGCUCUGUUUUUCCACCAGGCCCGUCCUGAUUUUUCACCCAGCUCUGCACUCAGAAGCCAACCUCCCCAUGUGCAUCCGCCGCCAGGCUCCCCGGCCCUCUGGUUCUCAGGCAGCUUGGCCAACAGGGGGAGCUGACAGGAGACUGGGAAGUGGUCAGAGCAAGGGGCCAGGAUAAUUACUCCGCCAGUGUCCUUGCUGCCGUGGGGCAGGCUGGGAGGCACUGCCUUCCUCCUCCGGAGGCUUCUGUGCCUGUGGGGUGGCCCCUCUGUCAGCCUCAGCUCCCACGGCUGCUGCUACCCGCUUCAUCCCUGCCCCCACGCAGGGCCAGUAUCUGCGCUCCACCACCCUUGAAGGCUUCCCUGAGGCCCGCAGCAGCUCGGUAGUUUCUGCGCUGACCCCACUUCCAUGACCUCUUUUCUGGGAAGCCAUCAGCCUCCCACCAGGAGCUGGAUGGACCCAGCACUUGAUAAACAUUUCCUCAUUAAAUCCUGUCAGGUGCCAAUUUGGGGUCCUGUGAUAUCCUGCGACACAGGAUGGCUCCCGCCACGUACCAGAACGGUUGUGCCCUUCUCUCCAGAGGCCCAGCAAGUCAGAGGAGGAGAAACUCAACCUAGAAUCCAGAUCUUUGGCCUUCCUGGCUUGAGCUUUUGGGGAAGAGAUGAAUUGCGAGUGCUGAAGUUUUAUAGUAGGUGCUUAGUGGGGAAGUCAGGUCCAAGGGUUUCUACAGCAUUAGCAAACACCCAGCCCUGGCGCAGCCCGUGGGCACCGGUCACAGGGCUGUGCCCCUGCCAGUUUAGGGGCAAAAAGGCCUCAGGACCUUUACUCCCUGGCUUUGCCCUCCCAACACCUUGGUAAUCGAUGGUCUGUUUGAGACACCCUGGUUUAUUUUCUGGACUAGUCCACUCACUGUUACAGGAUUAACUACCUCCUUAGACAUACCUCACGUCUAAACCAGAGAUCAGAGCAGAGACAAGACAUGGCAAGGAUCCCCCCUGAGCUCCAGCACCACUGAAAAUCACCAUUGUGAUUUUCUAAAGAGCUCCAGACACAGAAAUACCCAUAGCAGCCUCUGAUAAAAUUCCACACUGUGACCAGAAGAUGGCAGUACGCCACCACCCACCCCAAGUUCCAAGCUUUCCCCAGGGGUCCAGGCACGCACUCCUAGACCUGCCGCCACUGGGCCAGCCCACAGAUCAUUCUGCUUCAAGUGCACGUAUCAGCCAGGUAAUCCAAGCACUUAAAAGUAAAACCCCCAGGAACGUCUGGGUGGUUCAGUCGAUUAAGCAGCUGCCUUUGGCUCAGGUCAUGAUCUCAGCGUCCUGGGAUUAACCCCCCCCCC